This 689-nucleotide ribosomal RNA is filed under the name uncultured bacterium. RNAcentral describes it as "bacterial SSU rRNA". It matches the Rfam family "Bacterial small subunit ribosomal RNA", at positions 56 to 792 of the family's 1533-position model. The record is from RNAcentral.
UGCAGUCGAGCGCUCACUUUUAGUGGGAGCGGCAGACGGGUGAGUAACGCGUGGGAACAUACCUAAUAGUACGGAAUAACGAUUGGAAACGAUCGCUAAUACCGUAUACGCCCUUCGGGGGAAAGAUUUAUCGCUAUUAGAUUGGCCCGCGUUGGAUUAGCUAGUUGGUGGGGUAAUGGCCUACCAAGGCGACGAUCUAUAGCUGGUCUGAGAGGAUGAUCAGCCACACUGGGACUGAGACACGGCCCAGACUCCUACGGGAGGCAGCAGUGGGGAAUAUUGGACAAUGGGCGCAAGCCUGAUCCAGCCAUGCCGCGUGAGUGAUGAAGGCCUUAGGGUUGUAAAGCUCUUUCGCUAGGGAAGAUAAUGACGGUACCUAGUAAAGAAGCCCCGGCUAACUUCGUGCCAGCAGCCGCGGUAAUACGAAGGGGGCUAACGUUGUUCGGAUUUACUGGGCGUAAAGCGCACGUAGGCGGAUUAGUAAGUUAGGGGUGAAAUCCCAAGGCUCAACCUUGGAACUGCCUUUAAUACUGCUAAUCUAGAGAUCGGGAGAGGUGUAUGGAACUCCUAGUGUAGAGGUGGAAUUCGUAGAUAUUAGGAAGAACACCAGUGGCGAANGCGAUACACUGGCCCGAUACUGACGCUGANGUGCGAAAGCGUGGGGAGCAAAGGGAUUAGAUACCCUGGUA